GCAGUAUGCGAUGUUUUGUGGAUGGCAAAGACUUAUUCCUGAGGGAAUCGAUAUAGGGUAAAACGUUAGCAUAUUUUUUUCUUAAUUGAGGUAGCUAUGGCAACAAAAUGUUGUUCUGUAACAGUUAGAAGUCUGGCAGUGUCCUGAGUCAAAUUCUUUAUCUUUAUUUGAAAGGGAACCUCUUACUGAUUGUUUAAAGGAUGUUGAUUUGAUCCCACCUUUUAAUCGGAUGCUGCUGGAAGUCACCUUUGGCAAGCUGUACGCUUGGGCUGUACAGAACAUUCGAAAUGUUUUGAUGGAUGCCAGUGCCAAAUUUAAAGAGCUUGGUAUCCAGCCGGUUCCCCUGCAAACCAUCACCAAUGAGAACCCGUCGGGACCCAGCCUGGGGACCAUCCCGCAAGCCCGCUUCCUCCUGGUGAUGCUCAGCAUGCUCACCCUGCAGCACGGCGCAAACAACCUCGACCUUCUGCUCAAUUCCGGCAUGCUGGCCCUCACGCAGACGGCACUGCGCCUGAUUGGCCCCAGUUGUGACAACGUUGAGGAAGAUAUGAAUGCUUCUGCUCAAGGUGCUUCUGCCACAGUUUUG
This 586-nucleotide small RNA is filed under the name Pan troglodytes (chimpanzee). RNAcentral's name for it is "retained intron". Lineage: Eukaryota; Metazoa; Chordata; Mammalia; Primates; Hominidae. The record is from RNAcentral.